Molecule: unclassified non-coding RNA, 22 nt
Filed under: Chlamydomonas reinhardtii
Lineage: Eukaryota; Viridiplantae; Chlorophyta; Chlorophyceae; Chlamydomonadales; Chlamydomonadaceae
Description: small RNA Cre_3220
Source: RNAcentral
UGGACAAGCUCGUCGGCCCAGG